CAUGCGAAGUCCGAGCGCGAAAGGGGGGCAACCCCCGAGUAGAGCGGCGCACGGGUGAGUAACGCGGUGGGGUAAUCUACCUCCGGGCGGGGGAGUAACGACUCGAAAGGGUCGCUAAUACCGCAUGAGACCACGGGGUCUUCGGAUCCUGAGGCCAAAGGUGGCAUCGGCUUGCCGGUGCUGUCACCUGGAGAUGAGCCCGCGUCCGAUUAGCUAGUUGGCAGGGUAACGGCCUACCAAGGCUCCGAUCGGUAGCUGGUCUGAGAGGAUGGCCAGCCACACUGGAACUGGAACACGGUCCAGACUCCUACGGGAGGCAGCAGUGAGGAAUAUUGCGCAAUGGGGGGAAACCCUGACGCAGCAACGCCGCGUGGGUGAAGAAGGCCUUCGGGUCGUAAAGCCCUUUCGGACGGGACGAACGCUUUGCGGCGACAAACCGCGAAGCUUGACGGUACCGUAGGAAGAAGCACCGGCUAACUCCGUGCCAGCAGCCGCGGUAA
This 500-nucleotide ribosomal RNA is filed under the name uncultured delta proteobacterium. RNAcentral's name for it is "bacterial SSU rRNA". It matches the Rfam family "Bacterial small subunit ribosomal RNA", at positions 54 to 523 of the family's 1533-position model. The record is from RNAcentral. Lineage: Bacteria; Deltaproteobacteria.